This 310-nucleotide unclassified non-coding RNA is filed under the name Hevea brasiliensis (rubber tree). The record is from RNAcentral. Lineage: Eukaryota; Viridiplantae; Streptophyta; Magnoliopsida; Malpighiales; Euphorbiaceae.
CAUGGUGAAGUAGAAGAAAGGACAAUAUGCUUGAGUAGAGAACUUGAAAUGGCCAAAGAAAAGGUUCUGUUUGUAAGCAAGCAAUUUGGAGAUGCAACUCAUGAACUGAAAGAGGCAAAGUCAGUUGUUGAAGCCCUUGAGUCUGAACAAAUACUGGCAAUAAAUGAGAUGGAAGACCAGUCAGAGGGUAAGGACUCCACUUUACAAAUAAAAUUGAAGAGGAUGCAAGAUUCCUUUGAGAAGGCCAAGAGACUGAAUCUGUGGUAUCAAAAUGAUCAUGCUUUUAAGGCAACCAAUGAAGAAGAAAUGG